GUGGGGAAUAUUGCGCAAUGGGCGAAAGCCUGACGCAGCGACGCCGCGUGGGUGAUGAAGGCCUUCGGGUCGUAAAACCCUGUCGGGUGGAACGAAUUUCCGCUUCGCUAAUACCGGAGCGGAUUGACGGUACCACCGAAGGAAGCCCCGGCUAACUACGUGCCAGCAGCCGCGGUAAUACGUAGGGGGCGAGCGUUGUUCGGAUUUACUGGGCGUAAAGAGCGCGUAGGCGGUUCGAUAAGUCGGAGGUGAAAUCCCUCGGCUCAACCGAGGAUCCGCGUCCGAUACUGCCGAACUUGAGUGCAGGAGAGGAGAGCGGAAUUCCCAGUGUAGCGGUGAAAUGCGUAGAUAUUGGGAGGAACACCGGUGGCGAAGGCGGCUCUCUGGACUGUUACUGACGCUGAGGCGCGAAAGCUAGGGGAGCAAACGGGAUUAGAUACCCGAGUAGUCC
RNAcentral lists this ribosomal RNA (451 nucleotides) under uncultured bacterium. RNAcentral describes it as "bacterial SSU rRNA". It matches the Rfam family "Bacterial small subunit ribosomal RNA", at positions 354 to 796 of the family's 1533-position model. The record is from RNAcentral.